This 520-nucleotide ribosomal RNA is filed under the name uncultured Nitrospirota bacterium. RNAcentral describes it as "bacterial SSU rRNA". It matches the Rfam family "Bacterial small subunit ribosomal RNA", at positions 471 to 991 of the family's 1533-position model. Lineage: Bacteria; Pseudomonadati; Nitrospirota. The record is from RNAcentral.
GAUGGUACCUGAGGAAUAAGCCACGGCUAACUCUGUGCCAGCAGCCGCGGUAAGACAGCGGUGGCGAGCGUUGUUCGGAAUUACUGGGCCUAAGGGGCGUGUAGGCGGUGAGGUAACUCUGAGGUGGAAUCCUAUAGCUUAACUAUAGAACUGCCUAGGAUACUGUUUCACUUGAGUCAGUGAGGGGAGGGCGGAAUUCCCGGUGUAGCGGUGAAAUGCGUAGAUAUCGGGAGGAAGGCCGGUGGCGAAGGCGGCCCUCCGGCGCUGAACUGACGCUGAGGCGCGAAAGCGUGGGUAGCAAACAGAAUUAGAUACCCUGGUAGUCCACGCCCUAAACGGUGGGCAUUAGGUGUAGGGCUCGUAAGGGUUCUGUGCCGAAGGGAAACCAUUCAAUGCCCCGCCUGGGGAGUACGGCCGCAAGGUUGAAACUCAAAAGAAUUGACGGGGGCCCGCACAAGCGGUGGAGCAUGUGGUUUCAUUCGACGCUACUCGAAGAACCUUACCUGGGCUUGACAUGUUA